CCUACGGGUGGCAGCAGUAGGGAAUCUUCCACAAUGGGCGAAAGCCUGAUGGAGCAACGCCGCGUGGGUGAAGAAGGUCUUCGGAUCGUAACACCCUGUUGUUAGAGAAGAAAGUGCGUGAGCGUAACUGUUCACGUUUCGACGGUAUCUAACCAGAAAGCCACGGCUAACUACGUGCCAGCAGCCGCGGUAAUACGUAGGUGGCAAGCGUUAUCCGGAUGUAUUGGGCGUGAAGGGGACACAGGCGGUCUUUUAAGUCUGAUGUGAAAGUCUUCGGCUUAACCGGAGUAGUGCAUUGGAAACUGGGAGACUUGAGUGCAGAAGAGGAGAGUGGAAUUCCAUGUGUAGCGGUGAAAUGCUUAGAUAUAUGGAAGAACACCAGUGGCGAAAGCGGCUCUCUGGUGUGUAACUGACGCUGAGGUUCGAAAGCGGGGGUAGCAAACAGGAUUAGAUACCCCAGUAGUC
This 465-nucleotide ribosomal RNA is filed under the name uncultured bacterium. RNAcentral describes it as "partial 16S ribosomal RNA". It matches the Rfam family "Bacterial small subunit ribosomal RNA", at positions 338 to 795 of the family's 1533-position model. The record is from RNAcentral.